This 718-nucleotide long non-coding RNA is filed under the name Malus domestica (apple). Its description in RNAcentral is "long non-coding RNA (MDOM_LNC007278)". Lineage: Eukaryota; Viridiplantae; Streptophyta; Magnoliopsida; Rosales; Rosaceae. The record is from RNAcentral.
UCGUGGCAAGGUAGACUAGCAAACAUGCCCAACCUUUACUCACAUUCGAGAAAACACUCCCAACAAGAUUGCUUGCUCCAAAAUCGAAGAGGCACCGCCCUCCGAAUCUCGAGAGCCAGACUCCCAACAUGAUUACUUUCUCAAAAAUCGAAGAGAGGGUAAAGGAACAGUACCACUGCUGGAUAAUUGGAAAGUCCCUGUGUGUCAACCUCUGUGCUUCGUGGCAAGGUAGACUAGCAAACAUGCCCAACCUUUACUCACAUUCGAGAAAGCACUCCCAACAAGAUUGCUUGCUCCAAAAUCGAAGAGGCACCGCCCUCCGAAUCUCGAGAGCCAGACUCCCAACAUGAUUACUUUCUCAAAAAUCGUAGAGAGGGUAAAGGAACAGUACCACUGCUGGAUAAUUAGAAAGUCCCUGUGUAUCAACCUCUGUGCUUCGUGGCAAGGUAGACUAGCAAACAUGCCCAACCUUUACUCACAUUCGAGAAAACACUCCCAACAAGAUUGCUUGCUCCAAAAUCGAAGAGGCACCGCCCUCCGAAUCUCGAGAGCCGGACUCCCAACAUGAUUACUUUCUCAAAAAUCGAAGAAACACCGCUCUCCGAAUCUCGAGAGCCAGACCCCCAGCAGGAUUGCUUUCUCAAAAAUUGAAGAGGCAUCGUUCUCCGAAUCUCGAGAGCCAGAUCCCCGACAGGAUUGCUUGUUCGAAAACCGAAGA